AGUAGCGAAGGUCAUGAUCUCACACUGCCAAGAAAAGCCUCUAGUCAGGUGAAGGUGCCCGUACCGCAAACCGACACAGGUAGGCGAGAAGAGAAUUCUAAGGCGCGCGGAAGAACUCUCGUUAAGGAACUCGGCAAAAUGACCCCGUAACUUCGGGAGAAGGGGUGCCUCGGUAGGGUGAAUAGCCCGAGGGGGCCGCAGUGAAAAGGCCCAAGCGACUGUUUAGCAAAAACACAGGUCUGUGCGAAGCCGUAAGGCGAAGUAUACGGGCUGACGCCUGCCCGGUGCUGGAAGGUUAAGGGGAGCGGUUAGGAGCAAUCCGAAGCUGUGAACCGAAGCCCCAGUAAACGGCGGCCGUAACUAUAACGGUCCUAAGGUAGCGAAAUUCCUUGUCAGGUAAAUUCUGACCCGCACGAAUGGCGUAACGACUUGGGCGCUGUCUCAACGAGAGAUCCGGUGAAAUUUUAAUACCUGUGAAGAUGCAGGUUACCCGCGACAAGACGGAAAGACCCCAUGGAGCUUUACUGCAGCUUGAUAUUGGAUUUGGGUACGAUCUGUACAGGAUAGGUGGGAGCCUUCGAAGCAUGAGCGCCAGCUUGUGUGGAGGCGACGUUGGGAUACCACCCUGAUCGUAUCUAGGUUCUAACUUGGUACCGUGAUCCGGUACGAGGACAGUGUCAGGCGGGCAGUUUGACUGGGGCGGUCGCCUCCUAAAGAGUAACGGAGGCGCCCCAAGGUUCCCUCAGAAUGGUUGGAAAUCAUUCGAAGAGUGCAAAGGCAUAAGGGAGCUUGACUGCGAGACCUACAAGUCGAGCAGGGACGAAAGUCGGGCUUAGUGAUCCGGUGGUACCGCAUGGAAGGGCCAUCGCUCAACGGAUAAAAGCUACCCUGGGGAUAACAGGCUUAUCUCCCCCAAGAGUCCACAUCGACGGGGAGGUUUGGCACCUCGAUGUCGGCUCAUCGCAUCCUGGGGCUGAAGUAGGUCCCAAGGGUUGGGCUGUUCGCCCAUUAAAGCGGUACGCGAGCUGGGUUCAGAACGUCGUGAGACAGUUCGGUCCCUAUCUGUCGUGGGCGUAGGAAAUUUGAGAGGAGCUGUCCUUAGUACGAGAGGACCGGGAUGGACGUACCGCUGGUGCACCAGUUGUUCCGCCAGGAGCAUGGCUGGGUAGCUACGUACGGAAGGGAUAAGCGCUGAAAGCAUCUAAGCGUGAAGCCCCCCUCAAGAUGAGAUUUCCCAACUAGUAAGACCCCUUGAAGACGACGAGGUAGAUAGGUUGGAGGUGGAAGUGCAGCAAUGCAUGGAGCUGACCAAUACUAAUCGGUCGAGGGCUUAUCCAAA
This 1339-nucleotide ribosomal RNA is filed under the name Paenibacillus glucanolyticus. RNAcentral's name for it is "partial 23S ribosomal RNA". It matches the Rfam family "Bacterial large subunit ribosomal RNA", at positions 1581 to 2925 of the family's 2925-position model. Lineage: Bacteria; Bacillati; Bacillota; Bacilli; Caryophanales; Paenibacillaceae. The record is from RNAcentral.